RNAcentral lists this ribosomal RNA (497 nucleotides) under uncultured bacterium. RNAcentral describes it as "partial 16S ribosomal RNA". It matches the Rfam family "Bacterial small subunit ribosomal RNA", at positions 28 to 507 of the family's 1533-position model. The record is from RNAcentral.
GAUGAACGCUGGCGGCGUGCCUAAUACAUGCAAGUAGAACGCUGAAGGAAGGAGCUUGCUCUUUCCGGAUGAGUUGCGAACGGGUGAGUAACGCGUAGGUAACCUGCCUGGUAGCGGGGGAUAACUAUUGGAAACGAUAGCUAAUACCGCAUAACAGUAGAUGUUGCAUGAUAUCUACUUAAAAGGUGCAAUUGCACCACUACCAGAUGGACCUGCGUUGUAUUAGCUAGUUGGUGAGGUAACGGCUCACCAAGGCGACGAUACAUAGCCGACCUGAGAGGGUGAUCGGCCACACUGGGACUGAGACACGGCCCAGACGCCUACGGGAGGCAGCAGUAGGGAAUCUUCGGCAAUGGACGGAAGUCUGACCGAGCAACGCCGCGUGAGUGAAGAAGGUUUUCGGAUCGUAAAGCUCGGUUGUAAGAGAAGAACGAGUGUGAGAGUGGAAAGUUCACACUGUGACGGUAUCUUACCAGAAAGGGACGGCUAACUACGUG